UGAACGCUAGCUACAGGCUUAACACAUGCAAGUCGAGGGGCAUCAGGAAGAAAGCUUGCUUUCUUUGCUGGCGACCGGCGCACGGGUGAGUAACACGUAUCCAACCUGCCCUUUACUCGGGGAUAGCCUUUCGAAAGAAAGAUUAAUACCCGAUAGCAUAAUGAUUCCGCAUGGUUUCAUUAUUAAAGGAUUCCGGUAAAGGAUGGGGAUGCGUUCCAUUAGGUUGUUGGUGAGGUAACGGCCCACCAAGCCUUCGAUGGAUAGGGGUUCUGAGAGGAAGGUCCCCCACAUUGGAACUGAGACACGGUCCAAACUCCUACGGGAGGCAGCAGUGAGGAAUAUUGGUCAAUGGGCGCUAGCCUGAACCAGCCAAGUAGCGUGAAGGAUGAAGGCUCUAUGGGUCGUAAACUUCUUUUAUAUAAGAAUAAAGUGCAGUAUGUAUACUGUUUUGUAUGUAUUAUAUGAAUAAGGAUCGGCUAACUCCGUGCCAGCAGCCGCGGUAAUACGGAGGAUCCGAGCGUUAUCCGGAUUUAUUGGGUUUAAAGGGAGCGUAGGUGGACUGGUAAGUCAGUUGUGAAAGUUUGCGGCUCAACCGUAAAAUUGCAGUUGAUACUGUCAGUCUUGAGUACAGUAGAGGUGGGCGGAAUUCGUGGUGUAGCGGUGAAAUGCUUAGAUAUCACGAAGAACUCCGAUUGCGAAGGCAGCUCACUGGACUGCAACUGACACUGAUGCUCGAAAGUGUGGGUAUCAAACAGGAUUAGAUACCCUGGUAGUCCACACAGUAAACGAUGAAUACUCGCUGUUUGCGAUAUACAGUAAGCGGCCAAGCGAAAGCAUUAAGUAUUCCACCUGGGGAGUACGCCGGCAACGGUGAAACUCAAAGGAAUUGACGGGGGCCCGCACAAGCGGAGGAACAUGUGGUUUAAUUCGAUGAUACGCGAGGAACCUUACCCGGGCUUAAAUUGCAGUGGAAUGAUGUGGAAACAUGUCAGUGAGCAAUCACCGCUGUGAAGGUGCUGCAUGGUUGUUGUCAGCUCGUGCCGUGAGGUGUCGGCUUAAGUGCCAUAACGAGCGCAACCCUUAUCUUUAGUUACUAACAGGUUAUGCUGAGGACUCUGGAGAGACUGCCGUCGUAAGAUGUGAGGAAGGUGGGGAUGACGUCAAAUCAGCACGGCCCUUACGUCCGGGGCUACACACGUGUUACAAUGGGGGGUACAGAAGGCAGCUAGCGGGUGACCGUAUGCUAAUCCCAAAAGCCUCUCUCAGUUCGGAUCGAAGUCUGCAACCCGACUUCGUGAAGCUGGAUUCGCUAGUAAUCGCGCAUCAGCCACGGCGCGGUGAAUACGUUCCCGGGCCUUGUACACACCGCCCGUCAAGCCAUGGGAGCCGGGGGUACCUGAAGUACGUAACCGCAAGGAUCGUCCUAGGGUAAAACUGGUGACUGGG
RNAcentral lists this ribosomal RNA (1446 nucleotides) under uncultured organism. Its description in RNAcentral is "SSU rRNA". It matches the Rfam family "Bacterial small subunit ribosomal RNA". The record is from RNAcentral.